UCACCUUGAUGAGCAUAGCCAUAGGAAGGGAGCUUCAUAAUCCAGACAAAUAUGCAGCGAUGAUCUCUAUAAGAGGAGCACUUCUUCUCCAAGAUGGACACCUUGCACAUAGCUACAAGUUCUCCAAAGCACUUCGAAACGACACUUGCAACUGAGGGAUAGAAUAGACCCUGGUAAUUCAAAACCUAGCGGAGAACCUUUGGGCCUUGAAUACCCCCC
Molecule: long non-coding RNA, 219 nt
Filed under: Elaeis guineensis (African oil palm)
Lineage: Eukaryota; Viridiplantae; Streptophyta; Magnoliopsida; Arecales; Arecaceae
Description: long non-coding RNA (EGUI_LNC008570)
Source: RNAcentral